Long non-coding RNA from Spodoptera litura, 377 nucleotides. RefSeq lists it as uncharacterized. NCBI's taxonomy places the organism in Eukaryota, Metazoa, Arthropoda, Insecta, Lepidoptera, Noctuidae. The record is from RefSeq and is a predicted model, not a curated record.
CUCGCGGUACAGACGUGUGUCAUAAUUUCACAAGAAAUGAAAGUGAUUAUUAAGUAAAAAUAUCCAGAAUUUUAGGUCCGUGUCUCCACGUAACAAACUGUGAUAUUGGACAAUUUAAAAAGAUAUUUCUCUGACACCUAAGGUCAAGAAGAUAAAUUUUGGCUGCCUCGACCGAAAUGUCGUCGAGAACCUUCCACAGAAGCGGCGCCAGGGAGGGACGGAGUUUCAUUACAGAUGCUGCAGUGCUGACUGGUGUUUACCUCAUGAGUAGGUCGUUGUAGACUAUUCAAAGAGUUUCUUUACGGUUGUUUUGUACAAAUUACAUGUAGAGGUACACCCUUAUGUAAACAUUUUUAAAUAAAUUACAGUCACUUGUA